Molecule: long non-coding RNA, 839 nt
Filed under: Populus trichocarpa (black cottonwood)
Lineage: Eukaryota; Viridiplantae; Streptophyta; Magnoliopsida; Malpighiales; Salicaceae
Description: long non-coding RNA (PTRI_LNC003687)
Source: RNAcentral
AGGUAAAAACGCUGCCUCUAAUUCUCUCACUCUCAGAGGAACGCCACUGAUGAGGAGAACCUUUUUCUUAGUAGAAAGCUGUAGUUAUCCUGAUCUUUUAGGGGUGUUGAGGUCUUAAUGGAGUGAGUGGACACUCCGCGUUUGAUGGGGAUUCCCACAGUCCACAGUGACAUACAUUGUCCCAGCUGAGUGGAGACUGGAUAUGGAGAGAUGGAGAGAGGAUGCAGGAAAUGUACAAGAGAGCAUUUAAGGCUUGGAUUUGGAAAUAUUACGGGAAUGGAGUUGGGUGGCAUGUCGUUUUCAUUUAGUUAUAUGCUACAGUCGGUGUGUUGUACUCUGUCCUGAAAUUUGAGCUGGCUGGCUGGCUUGACUCCCUCCCUUUCAAAUAGUUCAACUACAUGUCUGUCGCAGAUGAAUAUUUUGUCAAAACAAAUUGUCAACAAACGUAGUUUAUUAGCACUGAGUUUAUUUGAAUAUUGUUUUUCUGGCAGAAUGCUGCAGAGAAGCCUCCUUUCUUCAUGCCAAGCUGGACCGCCAUGUAUGUUAUCAACACCUUCGUGGUGGUGUGGGUGCUGGUGGUUGGUUUUGGGUUCGGUGGAUGGGCUAGCAUGACCAACUUCGUUAGGCAGGUGGACACGUUCGGACUCUUCGCAAAGUGCUAUCAAUGCAAGCCAGCAGGGGCAGCACCACCGCGUCCUCACUGAGCUGACGUCACUGAAGCAAAUCAGUCCCAAGAUUUCGUCUGAGAAAAUAUUUCUUUUGCUUCAUAUUUUGUAUCAUACAAAGGGGAAGUAGCAGUAUCUCCUCCAUGUGAUGUGUGCUGGAUUUUGCUUUUCUUU